RNAcentral lists this ribosomal RNA (435 nucleotides) under uncultured bacterium. RNAcentral describes it as "partial 16S ribosomal RNA". It matches the Rfam family "Bacterial small subunit ribosomal RNA", at positions 29 to 507 of the family's 1533-position model. The record is from RNAcentral.
AGCGAACGCUGGCGGCAGGCUUAACACAUGCAAGUCGAGCGGGCGUAGCAAUACGUCAGCGGCAGACGGGUGAGUAACGCGUGGGAACGUACCUUUUGGUUCGGAACAACACAGGGAAACUUGUGCUAAUACCGGAUAGGCCCUUACGGGGAAAGAUUUAUCGCCGAAAGAUCGGCCCGCGUCUGAUUAGCUAGUUGGUGAGGUAACGGCUCACCAAGGCGACGAUCAGUAGCUGGUCUGAGAGGAUGAUCAGCCACAUUGGGACUGAGACACGGCCCAAACUCCUACGGGAGGCAGCAGUGGGGAAUAUUGGACAAUGGGGGCAACCCUGAUCCAGCCAUGCCGCGUGAGUGAUGAAGGCCCUAGGGUUGUAAAGCUCUUUUGUGCGGGAAGAUAAUGACGGUACCGCAAGAAUAAGCCCCGGCUAACUUCGUG